RNAcentral lists this ribosomal RNA (501 nucleotides) under uncultured bacterium. RNAcentral describes it as "partial 16S ribosomal RNA". It matches the Rfam family "Bacterial small subunit ribosomal RNA", at positions 30 to 523 of the family's 1533-position model. The record is from RNAcentral.
AUUGAACGCUGGCGGCAGGCUUAACACAUGCAAGUCGAGCGGGGGAAGGUAGCUUGCUACCGGACCUAGCGGCGGACGGGUGAGUAAUGCUUAGGAAUCUGCCUAUUAGUGGGGGACAACAUCUCGAAAGGGAUGCUAAUACCGCAUACGUCCUACGGGAGAAAGCAGGGGAUCGUCGGACCUUGCGCUAAUAGAUGAGCCUAAGUCGGAUUAGCUAGUUGGUGGGGUAAAGGCCUACCAAGGCGACGAUCUGUAGCGGGUCUGAGAGGAUGAUCCGCCACACUGGGACUGAGACACGGCCCAGACUCCUACGGGAGGCAGCAGUGGGGAAUAUUGGACAAUGGGGGGAACCCUGAUCCAGCCAUGCCGCGUGUGUGAAGAAGGCCUUAUGGUUGUAAAGCACUUUAAGCGAGGAGGAGGCUACUUUAGUUAAUACCUAGAGAUAGUGGACGUUACUCGCAGGAUAAGCACCGGCUAACCCUGUGCCAGCAGCCGCCGUAA